UAUUCAUUUCACACACUCUCUCACCGGUCAGAGAGGCGAGAGAGCAUGAGAAAUGAAGAUA
Molecule: non-coding RNA, 61 nt
Organism: Pristionchus pacificus
Lineage: Eukaryota; Metazoa; Nematoda; Chromadorea; Rhabditida; Neodiplogasteridae
Source: Rfam